RNAcentral lists this ribosomal RNA (480 nucleotides) under uncultured bacterium. RNAcentral describes it as "partial 16S ribosomal RNA". It matches the Rfam family "Bacterial small subunit ribosomal RNA", at positions 28 to 523 of the family's 1533-position model. The record is from RNAcentral.
GAUGAACGCUGGCGGCGUGCUUAACACAUGCAAGUCGAGCGAUGAAGUUUCCUUCGGGAAACGGAUUAGCGGCGGACGGGUGAGUAACACGUGGGUAACCUGCCUCAUAGAGUGGAAUAGCCUUCCGAAAGGAAGAUUAAUACCGCAUAACGUUGAAAGAUGGCAUCAUCAUUCAACCAAAGGAGCAAUCCGCUAUGAGAUGGACCCGCGGCGCAUUAGCUAGUUGGUGGGGUAACGGCCUGCCAAGGCGACGAUGCGUAGCCGACCUGAGAGGGUGAUCGGCCACAUUGGGACUGAGACACGGCCCAGACUCCUACGGGAGGCAGCAGUGGGGAAUAUUGCACAAUGGGGGAAACCCUGGUGCAGCAACGCCGCGUGAGUGAUGAAGGUUUUCGGAUCGUAAAGCUCUGUCUUUGGGGAAGAUAAUGACGGUACUCAAGGAGGAAGCCACGGCUAACUACGUGCCAGCAGCCGCAGUAA